UACAGAGGUCCCGAGCGUUGUUCGGAUUCACUGGGCGUAAAGGGUGCGUAGGUGGCCUAAAAAGUUUGAUGUGAAAGCUCAGGGCUUAACCCUGAAAUGGCAUUGAAUACUGUUGGGCUGGAGGUUUGGAGGGGGGACUGGAAUUCUUGGUGUAGCAGUGAAAUGCGUAGAUAUCAAGAGGAACACCAGUGGCGAAGGCGGUUGCCUGGAGCUUUGCUGACGCUGAUGCGCGAAAGCGUGGGGAGCGAUCCGG
Molecule: ribosomal RNA, 253 nt
Filed under: uncultured bacterium
Lineage: Bacteria
Description: partial 16S ribosomal RNA
Rfam family: Bacterial small subunit ribosomal RNA
Source: RNAcentral